RNAcentral lists this ribosomal RNA (492 nucleotides) under uncultured bacterium. RNAcentral describes it as "partial 16S ribosomal RNA". It matches the Rfam family "Bacterial small subunit ribosomal RNA", at positions 28 to 507 of the family's 1533-position model. The record is from RNAcentral.
GAUGAACGCUAGCUACAGGCUUAACACAUGCAAGUCGAGGGGAAACGACAUCGAAAGCUUGCUUUUGAUGGGCGUCGACCGGCGCACGGGUGAGUAACGCGUAUCCAACCUGCCCACCACUUGGGGAUAACCUUGCGAAAGUAAGACUAAUACCCAAUGAUAUCCCACGAAGACAUCUGAAUGGGAUUAAAGAUUUAUCGGUGAUGGAUGGGGAUGCGUCUGAUUAGCUUGUUGGCGGGGUAACGGCCCACCAAGGCAACGAUCAGUAGGGGUUCUGAGAGGAAGGUCCCCCACAUUGGAACUGAGACACGGACCAAACUCCUACGGGAGGCAGCAGUGAGGAAUAUUGGUCAAUGGGCGAGAGCCUGAACCAGCCAAGUAGCGUGCAGGAAGACGGCCCUAUGGGUUGUAAACUGCUUUUAUAAGGGAAUAAAGUGGGUCACGUGUGACUUUUUGCAUGUACCUUAUGAAUAAGGACCGGCUAAUUCCGUG